This 526-nucleotide ribosomal RNA is filed under the name uncultured bacterium. RNAcentral describes it as "bacterial SSU rRNA". It matches the Rfam family "Bacterial small subunit ribosomal RNA", at positions 355 to 899 of the family's 1533-position model. The record is from RNAcentral.
UGGGGAAUCUUGGACAAUGGGGGCAACCCUGAUCCAGCCAUGCCGCGUGAGUGAUGAAGGCCUUAGGGUCGUAAAGCUCUUUCGCCUGUGAAGAUAAUGACGGUAGCAGGUAAAGAAACCCCGGCUAACUCCGUGCCAGCAGCCGCGGUAAUACGGAGGGGGUUAGCGUUGUUCGGAAUUACUGGGCGUAAAGCGCACGUAGGCGGACCAGAAAGUUGGGGGUGAAAUCCCGGGGGCUCAACCCUGGAACUGCCUCCAAAACUAUUGGUCUAGAGUUCGAGAGAGGUGAGUGGAAUUCCAAGUGUAGAGGUGAAAUUCGUAGAUAUUUGGAGGAACACCAGUGGCGAAGGCGGCUCACUGGCUCGAUACUGACGCUGAGGUGCGAAAGUGUGGGGAGCAAACAGGAUUAGAUACCCUGGUAGUCCACACCGUAAACGAUGAAUGCCAGUCGUCGGGUAGCAUGCUAUUCGGUGACACACCUAACGGAUUAAGCAUUCCGCCUGGGGAGUACGGUCGCAGAUUAAAA